GGUCUGUUAGAGCGGAUGUGAAUAAAGUUGAUGGGUUUAAAGUUGGAAUAUCGUGACUUUUGGAAAAUACUCGAGUUGCUAAUGGCCGUUAGCCAUUUGGAUUCAACCAAGGAUUAUGCUGAAUUCCCAGUCACUCAUUUAAGGAUUAGCAAAGGAAGUCUGCUGUUCCGUAACUCAGCAGAAGUCACAAGUCCGCUUUGCUCCACAUGGGCCGUGACAUGACGCAAGGCCCCUUGGGCAUGAAUAUGUCUGGCAUGAACCAGGGUGAAUACAGUCCUGACUGACUGUUCCAAGACUGUGUCAUUGUUUCUUGUGGAUGUUCUUCAACACCACCAGUCGCAUUAGGCACCAGGUUUCAACAAGGAUUAUCCAGGAGGCAACGGAUUUGUAACAGCUCGGGAUCGGUUUCAAAAAGGAAGAUGAUGAUUACGAUUCCGACGAUAGUGGCAAGGAUAAAUAAAAGAGCUCAUGCUGUCAUCAUUCGAUUGCGAAGGGUCGAAAGGUUGAGGAGAAGGAGCUGUUCGAAGUUACAUAGCAGCAUCAGCACCGACAUCAUCGCAGUUAUCACUAUACAAUGUUCAGCUUAGCUGGUGCUGUUUGCUGCUAGUUGGAGCAAACUACCAUGGACCACAAGGCUAAGGACCAACCAAGCUAUGGUCACUUCAACGGCAGCAGGGCCAACUGGUGACGCAAGGAAUCCACUACGAAAUUACAACAACGACCUGUUGUGUGGUCGGAGUUCAGCAAGAGUGCAACAGUUGAAUUCAUUAGCAGAACAACACAUGUAAAGGGAAAAAUAAAGAAGAAAAUAGAGCAAGAAAAAAUGAGCAAAAAAAUGUCUGACUUCAUGCCCGUUGAAAAUAAUAAUUUUCAGGAACUGCGAAUGAAUUGUAUUGUUUCUGUUAGUUUUUGCAUUCUUAAUUUUUUAAGCAAAUUAUUUGUAUUAUUUCUGUGAGUUUAUGCAUUCUUUGAAACAUGAGACGUUCUUUACUUUUUAAAUUAUUAUAUUAUUAUCUUGCCACUCCUUCUCAAGUUUGCAUGAGUGAAUUACAAGAUGGCACUGCAGCGAACAAAUAGCAUAAAUUAUACAAAAAAGUUAAUUUUUAUUCGAUUCGGCGAAACGUCCAUUCGGCGAAAUGACUUUCGGCGAAAUGACUUUCGGCGAAACGUAUCAUUCGGCGAAACGACAUUUGGCGAAAUGA
Molecule: long non-coding RNA, 1202 nt
Organism: Culex quinquefasciatus (southern house mosquito)
Lineage: Eukaryota; Metazoa; Arthropoda; Insecta; Diptera; Culicidae
Exons: 3
Source: RefSeq, a predicted model, not a curated record